GCCGGAAUGGCGGAACUGGUAGACGCACGAGACUCAAAAUCUCGCGAGCUUCACAGCUUGUAAGGGUUCAAGUCCCUUUUCCGGCA
This 86-nucleotide transfer RNA is filed under the name Spirochaetales bacterium. RNAcentral's name for it is "tRNA-Leu". It matches the Rfam family "tRNA". Rfam says of the family: Transfer RNA (tRNA) molecules are approximately 80 nucleotides in length. Their secondary structure includes four short double-helical elements and three loops (D, anti-codon, and T loops). Lineage: Bacteria; Pseudomonadati; Spirochaetota; Spirochaetia; Spirochaetales. RNAcentral also lists the same sequence under 2 other names. The record is from RNAcentral.